Molecule: non-coding RNA, 119 nt
Organism: Octopus bimaculoides (California two-spot octopus)
Lineage: Eukaryota; Metazoa; Mollusca; Cephalopoda; Octopoda; Octopodidae
Source: Rfam
GCUUACGGCCAUAUCACAUUGAGAGCACCAGUUCUCGUCCAAUCACCGAAGUUAAGCAACGUCGAGCCUAGUGAGUACUUAGAUGGGUGACCGCUUGGGAAACCUAGGUGCUGUAAGCA